Molecule: unclassified non-coding RNA, 306 nt
Filed under: plant metagenome
Description: partial contains 5.8S ribosomal RNA, internal transcribed spacer 2, and large subunit ribosomal RNA
Rfam family: 5.8S ribosomal RNA (bases 1-105)
Source: RNAcentral
GAAAUGCGAUAAGUAAUGUGAAUUGCAGAAUUCAGUGAAUCAUCGAAUCUUUGAACGCACAUUGCGCCCGCCAGUAUUCUGGCGGGCAUGCCUGUCCGAGCGUCAUUUCAACCAUCAAGCCCCCGGGCUUGUGUUGGGGACCUGCGGCUGCCCGCGGGCCCUGAAAACCAGUGGCGGGCUCGCUGUCACACCGAGCGUAGUAGCAAUCACCUCGCUCAGGGCGUGCUGCGGGUUCCGGCCGUUAAACAGCCUUACAAAACCCAAGGUUGACCUCGGAUCAGGUAGGAAGACCCGCUGAACUUAAGC